This 95-nucleotide transfer RNA is filed under the name Dactylellina haptotyla CBS 200.50. It matches the Rfam family "tRNA". From Rfam's summary of the family: Transfer RNA (tRNA) molecules are approximately 80 nucleotides in length. Their secondary structure includes four short double-helical elements and three loops (D, anti-codon, and T loops). The record is from Rfam by way of RNAcentral. Lineage: Eukaryota; Fungi; Ascomycota; Orbiliomycetes; Orbiliales; Orbiliaceae.
GGGGAUAUGGCGCAGUGGUAGCGCGUCUGCUUUGCAUACUCUCUCACGAGGAUCAUUCGUGCAGAAGGUCUGGGGUUCGAAACCCCAUGUCUCCA